AGAAUUUCAACCAUAUACAUAGUUCUCCCUUCAUGGAUUGGUGGUGUGGUGAUUGUUGCACCCUUUUAUUCUAAAAGACAAAAACAUGACAUCAAGAACUAGAAAUAUAACAACUGAAAUUUCUCAAUGCCAUAGAAUUAAAAUUUCUUAGAUUAGUGUUAUCGUGCGCGGGCGCGCGUGUAUAUAUAUAUAUAUAUAUAGAGAGAGAGAGAG
RNAcentral lists this long non-coding RNA (213 nucleotides) under Elaeis guineensis (African oil palm). Its description in RNAcentral is "long non-coding RNA (EGUI_LNC005685)". The record is from RNAcentral. Lineage: Eukaryota; Viridiplantae; Streptophyta; Magnoliopsida; Arecales; Arecaceae.